Oreochromis aureus is the source of this 2836-nucleotide long non-coding RNA. The record is from Ensembl. NCBI's taxonomy places the organism in Eukaryota, Metazoa, Chordata, Actinopteri, Cichliformes, Cichlidae.
AGAUCAUUUUUUUAUGUUUAGUUUUAUCAUUUCUAGGUGACUAAAAGCACUUGAACUUUGCUCUAUUUUCUAAUGUAGUUUUAGUAUUUUGAAUGCACUGUGACAAAUAUUUUGUAAAUGUAGUUUCAGGUUUUACAAUAAUGACUAUGAUGUACUCACAUUGAGAGGAUGUGUGUUUGGAUGUCAAAUGUGAUAAAGAGCGAUCAUGUAGGAAAAGCAUGACAUGAGGUGUGAUUACACCAAAGUCCACUGUGUUUAACAAUGUCCAACCACUGUACUGUAUAUUAGAAACAGCCAAUGUUACAUCUGUAGUUGUAGGACGAUACUGAGAAAAUGUUUCUUUCUUUAAAUCAGUGCUGUUUGAACUUUUUGUAAAAUUUUGAUACAACUUGACGUAGCAUUUUGUUCCAGCUUAAAAUGAAUGUUAUUUGAGUUUGUCUGUGUUCACUGUAACAUGACGGUCCAUUGUCAUGAGUGUGGAAAGCAUGAGGGGACAAGAGCAAAUUCAGUGUUUAUCUGGGUAUGUUUCGUCUAAAAAAUCUUAAAUAUAGUUUUAAAAGAUCUUACAACUUCUUUCACAAUGAUGAUAUUCACAUUCCUUUGAAAAUGAGCAACUUUUGUGCCACUUUUGACAGUAAGAAGACUAUUCAAGAUGUGAUACCAUGAUUCGUGCAGCCACCAGAGUAUGAAUGUUAGAUAGAAAUAAAGCACUUAAGCAUAGAAAAAAUUAAUUGUAUGAAUAGGUGUGAACGAGGUACCUUGCAUAAAGCACUUUGAUUGCUCAGCUAUAGUAGAAAAGCACUAUAUAACAACCAGUCCAUUUAACAUUUACUUUUCUCCACUUGUGUUAGCACAGAGAUGCUAAUUUCUUUCCUCUGUUCGCUAACAUCAACUACUCCAGUUUCUGGAACUGAGAUGACAGCUUCAUUUUCUCCAUCCUGUGUUUGAACAUUCUUGAUAAUCCAUUUCUGACCCGAGGCUGCCCGAUAAUCUUUCCUCCAUCUUACUUUUGAAACAUUUUUUAAUUCCCUGUUGAGACACUGAGUUACCAAAUAUGCUUCUCUACAUCCUAUUUUUUCCAUUAUAUUUCAGUUCACAUUGUCAGCAGGUUUCCAGAUACACUUUCCCUGUUCUACUUGUUAUAUUUGUCUGCUCAAUUUGUAUUUGUUGCCAAAUCUUUCUUUACACUCUGUUGAGCAUUCUCCUGUACUGUGUUUAGCCCCAAUAACAUUUAGCAAUUACAUGUUAUGAAAUAUAGCAUGUACUGUCUUCUGAAAGGACAAUAUAUAUUACUACUGUAUGGGUAAUAUACUCACACCCCUUAUCAGUUCAGGUGCUGUAGGAAACUGGUUCAAAUGAAAGAACGUUGCUACAAUCCAGCACCUGAUUUCAGCUCUCUGUUUUCACGGCUUAAGCAAGGCCAGUGUAUAUCUAGGCCACGACUUUCUUCCAUCUUCCUUCACUUGAAAGCUAAAUCUUUGUCAGAAAGUAUUACUCAGUGGUCUUAUCAUUGCAUUUCUGUUCUCUGCAAGCAUUGUUGCAUGCAGUUAUGUGUUCAAAUGUGUUUGAUCAGUACUGCUCUGACUACAAAUGGAAACCAGAUGGGAUUUUCUGCACUAUGAGAUCUUGAUUGAUUGAUUGAUUGAUUGAUCAAUGUAACAGCACAAUUACUUUGACACCCUUUGCCAGCUUCAAUGGCAGUUUUUAGGGCCAGCUGCACUUUCAGCACAACACUUAGCACUGCACAAAUGCCAAUCCAGCCAGGUUUGGGGUUUUUAUGGCAGAAUGUGGUUCUACACCAAACGACCUAAGUUCAGUCAGAAAAGUUUCUUCUAGCCAACAUCAGCUGUUUUCAAAUUUGUUCGGUAGUAAUAGUAGUUCUUUUCCAGAGGCAUAAAUCAUCAAGAGAGCCAUUUUCAUUCACGUAGACAACCCAACCUUUUUUGACAUAACCAUCUUAGACAGAAGCAACUGCUGUCUUUGACUUAACAUGACUAGAUUUAGAAAUUUGGUUCAUUUCAUCCCAGUUUCAACCUGCUUUUCUGAAUUUUCAGUCACUCCCUAUUCCUGUGAAUUAAAAUGCGUACCACUAUUCAUUACAAGCCUUCAACAUUAGAUGCGUUUCUCUCACUGUCUACAUUACCUUCCAAUCUCCGAUCCUAAAGGGUCAUUAGAAUUUAGUCGGUAUACACUCACAGCCACCCCGUGUAAAUCCAUUCUGCUUUCUUUGGGGAUCUGCCAGGGCCAGAAGCCACUGCUGAUUGUUGAAGAGGCGUUGGCCUAACUUGUUUCAUUUGGAGUUAGUAAAAGUUGAGAUUAAGUUCAUAGAAAUUCAUUUUUUUCCUUGUCUGUACUUUUUUGUGUGAUUAUUAAGUAAGUCUUAAAUUGGCUUCAUAAUUGUGUUUACAGCUCCCAGCUUAAAUUUAAUGUGUUGCAACCUGCAGAUGCACUGCAUUAUUUUGCAAUUACAUAGUUUUAUGUCUGUUGACUAUGUGUUGCCAUCACUACAAAAACUGUUUUAUUGUUUAUGACAUUAUAAAAAUAGAUUUGAACUCUUUGAAAAUAAUUUUUAAAUCUUUUUAUUGUGAUUAGACCCAAAUACUUUUUUUAUGUCCUCUCUGGCUUUCCGUGUGCAUGUGUGCAUUUGAGUAAAUGCUUGGCAUUGACUGUUUGUAAGAGAAAUGAAUUUGUGUUUUUGCCUGGAUAUGUGACCAUCCCUAAUACUGCAUUUGGGGAUUUGCACAGUACUUUUUUCCUUAAAUAAAUACAAUAAAAGUGAAUAAUGAACUACUGUGCAUUUACUGUAACACAUGCAGUAGCACACAUCAUAGAAUCA